CAGUCGCCGCGGUAAUACAGAGGGUGCAAGCGUUAAUCGGAAUUACUGGGCGUAAAGCGCGCGUAGGUGGUUCGCCAAGUUGGAUGUGAAAUCCCGGGGCUCAACCUGGGAACUGCAUCCAAAACUGGCGAGCUAGAGUAUGGUAGAGGGUUGUGGAAUUUCCUGUGUAGCGGUGAAAUGCGUAGAUAUAGGAAGGAACAUCAGUGGCGAAGGCGACCACCUGGACUGAUACUGACACUGAGGUGCGAAAGCGUGGGGAUCAAACAGGAUUAGAUACCCCCGUAGUCCCUGUCUCUUAUAC
This 301-nucleotide ribosomal RNA is filed under the name uncultured bacterium. RNAcentral describes it as "partial 16S ribosomal RNA". It matches the Rfam family "Bacterial small subunit ribosomal RNA", at positions 509 to 807 of the family's 1533-position model. The record is from RNAcentral.